This 468-nucleotide ribosomal RNA is filed under the name uncultured bacterium. RNAcentral's name for it is "partial 16S ribosomal RNA". It matches the Rfam family "Bacterial small subunit ribosomal RNA", at positions 28 to 507 of the family's 1533-position model. The record is from RNAcentral.
GACGAACGCUGGCGGCGUGCUUAACACAUGCAAGUCGAACGGAAAGGCCCUGCUUUUGUGGGUUGCUCGAGUGGCGAACGGGUGAGUAACACGUGAGUAACCUGCCCUUGACUUUGUGAUAACUUCAGGAAACUGGGGCUAAUACCGGAUAUGAGCUCCUGCUGCAUGGUGGUGGUUGGAAAGAGUCGGCUGUGGGGGAUGUACUCGCGGCUUAUCAGCUUGUUGGUGGGGUAGUUGCUUACCAGGGCUUUGACGGGUAGGCGGCAUGGGAGCGUUGCCGGCGUCCUUGCGACUACGAUACGGAGCAGACUCCUACGUGAGGCAACAGUCGGAAACAUUGCACAGUAAGGCGAAGCGUGAUACGGAAACGCCGCGUGCGGAAUGCCGGCCUUCGGGUUAUAAACAGAUUUCGCCUGUGACGAAGCGUGAGUGACGGUACUGGGUCAAGAAGCCCCGGCUAACUACGUG